This 774-nucleotide ribosomal RNA is filed under the name uncultured Neocallimastigales. RNAcentral describes it as "partial large subunit ribosomal RNA". It matches the Rfam family "Eukaryotic large subunit ribosomal RNA", at positions 24 to 646 of the family's 3401-position model. Lineage: Eukaryota; Fungi; Neocallimastigomycota; Neocallimastigomycetes; Neocallimastigales. The record is from RNAcentral.
GUAGUCUCGCACAGAUGCAUAUCAAUAAGCGGAGGAAAAGAAACUAACAAGGAUUCCCUUAGUAACGGCGAGUGAAGCGGGAAGAGCUCAAAUUUGAAAUCUUCAAGGUUUUACCUUGACGAAUUGUAGUUUAAAGAAGUGUUUUCUGUUGAAGUUUUGGUAAAAGUUCUUUGGAAUAGGACAUCAUAGAGGGUGAGAAUCCCGUAUUUGACCAUUAAUUUCAGCUGUGUGAUACACUUUCAAAGAGUCGGAUUGUUUGGGAAUGCAGUCCAAAAUGGGUGGUAAAUUUCAUCUAAAGCUAAAUAUUGGCGAGAGACCGAUAGCGAACAAGUACCAUGAGGGAAAGAUGAAAAGAACUUUGAAAAGAGAGUUAAACAGUACGUGAAAUUGUCAAAAGGGAAGCGUUUGACACCAGUGUUGUUUUUCUGAAAAUCAAUUAAAGAACUGUUUAUGCUAAGUUGUUUAGACUUUAUCAGCUAACUGUUUAGUUUUGAGCUUUUCUUUAAUGCACUUUUCAGUUAACAAGUCAACAUCAAUUUCUUUUGCUGUAAAAAAGCUUGAGGAAGGUGGCUUGAGAUUCGUCUUAAGUGUUUAUAGCCUCUUGCCUAUGCAGUCGGAGAGAUUGAGGUCUGCAGCGUAGAUCCUUCGGGGCUAAAUGCAUUUGUGCUAAGUUAUAGCAUUUUAUAGACAACUUGUUGACUAUGAUUUGUCUUGUAGCUUACUCGCUUAUGUUAUUUUACCUACGCUUAGGAUGUUGAUGUGAUACUGCGAGCA